RNAcentral lists this ribosomal RNA (253 nucleotides) under uncultured bacterium. RNAcentral describes it as "partial 16S ribosomal RNA". It matches the Rfam family "Bacterial small subunit ribosomal RNA", at positions 524 to 776 of the family's 1533-position model. The record is from RNAcentral.
UACGAACCGUGCGAACGUUGUUCGGAAUCACUGGGCUUAAAGGGCGCGUAGGCGGGUUCGCAAGUCUGUGGUGAAAGCCUCCAGCUUAACUGGAGAAGUGCCGUGGAUACUGCGAAUCUUGAGGAGGGUAGGGGCGUCUGGAACGGUCGGUGGAGCGGUGAAAUGCGUUGAUAUCGACCGGAACUCCGGUGGCGAAGGCGAGGCGCUGGACCCUUUCUGACGCUGAGGCGCGAAAGCCAGGGGAGCAAACGGG